Molecule: ribosomal RNA, 279 nt
Filed under: uncultured Staphylococcus sp.
Lineage: Bacteria; Bacillati; Bacillota; Bacilli; Caryophanales; Staphylococcaceae
Description: partial 16S ribosomal RNA
Rfam family: Bacterial small subunit ribosomal RNA
Source: RNAcentral
CCUUUGACGUUAGCGGCGGACGGGUGAGUAACACGUGGGUAACCUACCUAUAAGACUGGGAUAACUUCGGGAAACCGGAGCUAAUACCGGAUAAUAUUUCGAACCNCAUGGUUCGAUAGUGAAAGGUGGUUUUGCUAUCACUUAUAGAUGGACCCGCGCCGUAUUAGCUAGUUGGUAAGGUAACGGCUUACCAAGGCGACGAUACGUAGCCGACCUGAGAGGGUGAUCGGCCACACUGGAACUGAGACACGGUCCAGACUCCUACGGGAGGCAGCAGCG